GGACUUGUAGCUCAAUGGCCAGAGCAGCCAAUUGUACUCCGUGUGCAGUUGAGUGUCUUGUGGGUUCGAAUCCCACCAAGUCCU
This 84-nucleotide transfer RNA is filed under the name Bacillus salinus. RNAcentral describes it as "Bacillus sp. HMF5848 tRNA". It matches the Rfam family "tRNA". From Rfam's summary of the family: Transfer RNA (tRNA) molecules are approximately 80 nucleotides in length. Their secondary structure includes four short double-helical elements and three loops (D, anti-codon, and T loops). Lineage: Bacteria; Bacillati; Bacillota; Bacilli; Caryophanales; Bacillaceae. The record is from Rfam by way of RNAcentral.